This is a long non-coding RNA of Nelumbo nucifera (sacred lotus), 1214 nucleotides long. RefSeq lists it as uncharacterized. NCBI's taxonomy places the organism in Eukaryota, Viridiplantae, Streptophyta, Magnoliopsida, Proteales, Nelumbonaceae. The record is from RefSeq and is a predicted model, not a curated record.
GGGCGAGUGAAUUCGAGGGAAGAAAGACGCGUUUACGACGCUCUACGAGCUCUGUUCUACGAAACAGAACUAAGAGAGGGCUGUUAAUGCAGGAGCCGUGAAACCGCUGGUGGACUUGAUUCCAGAGCAGGGGAGCGGUUUGACGGAGAAGGCGAUGGUGGUUCUGAGCAGCUUAGCUGCAAUUCCAGAGGACAGAACUGACAUAGUCGAAGAAGGAGGGAUUGCAGCUUUGGUUGAAGCGAUCGAAGACGGUCAGUGAAAGGGGAAGAGUUCGCGGUACUGACGCUUCUGCAACUAUGCGCGGACAGUGUACGGAACAGAGGAUUGUUGGUGAGAGGUGGGAUCCCCCCGCUUGUUGGGCUCUCUCAGACGGGCACGGCUCGAGCGAAGCAGAAGAGGAAAAUGCUCUAAUGGCCUGGCGUGCUUUGCCUAUCUCUACGGCGGGAUAUUGAUGGAUGCAGAAAGCGUCUGAUUGUGGUUGUAGUAGAGAUGAGACGAACAUGAAGUAUCUUGCAGCGGAGCAGCGGAACAGACGGCGCUCGUCGCCCUCCUGUUGGCUGUCGGUGGAAGGUCGCUCUUGUGGAACAUGACCGAGCAAAGUCCUUGUCGGUGGCAAGGCAUUACUUGCGAGAAACCGAGUCACCGUCUUGCGUCUUCCUGGCAACGGACUCAUCGCCCAAAUCCCUGUAGGAGUCUUCGGAAAUCUGAUGCAACUCCACACGCUUAUCCUCCGGCUUAAUGCUCUCACCGGUCCAUUGUCGUCCGAUCUAGCCGCAUGUACGGAUCUCCACAAAUUUUCUGGCAAGAUUCCGUCGUCCUUGUUCGAACUCAAGAAACUUGUCGCGUGAACAGUAUUAUAAAAAGGGUAGUUUAGACAUUUAAAAAUUUUUAAACACUUGGAUGAAAAUUUUUUCAAGUUAACUAAUAGAACAUUAACGGAAGGGGGUCUUUGUGUAACGGCUAAAGUUCAGAGGGUUCUUUGUCGAUAAAAAGAAUAUAGGAGAGACUUUGGGGGGUUUUUAUAAUUUACCCUUUGUAUUAUUUCUCAUUGUACAUAUUUGUAUUUAUAAUCUUUCCAAAUUGAGCCUUUAUUAAAAAAAACUGUCCAAAAAGAUGGUUUAAAAACAUUGUAAUCCUUUUUUUUUUUUAUUUCUCCUGCAUAAUAUGGUUGCAGUGUCCUGUUUAUAGCAUGUACAUAGCAUUUAUGCACAAUA